Molecule: ribosomal RNA, 409 nt
Filed under: uncultured Nitrososphaerota archaeon
Lineage: Archaea; Thermoproteati; Nitrososphaerota
Description: bacterial SSU rRNA
Rfam family: Archaeal small subunit ribosomal RNA
Source: RNAcentral
CUGGUGUCAGCCGCCGCGGUAAUACCAGCACCCCGAGUUGUCGGGACGAUUAUUGGGCCUAAAGCAUCCGUAGCCUGUUCUACAAGUCCUCCGUUAAAUCCACCUGCUCAACAGAUGGGCUGCGGGGGAUACUAUAGGGCUAGGAGGCGGGAGAGGCAAACGGUACUCAGUGGGUAGGGGUAAAAUCCAUUGAUCUACUGAAGACCACCAGUGGCGAAGGCGGUUUGCCAGAACGCGCUCGACGGUGAGGGAUGAAAGCUGGGGGAGCAAACCGGAUUAGAUACCCGGGUAGUCCCAGCUGUAAACGAUGCAGACUCGGUGAUGGGUUGGCUUCGCGCCAACCCAGUGCCGCAGGGAAGCCGUUAAGUCUGCCGCCUGGGGAGUACGGUCGCAAGACUGAAACUUAAAG